MicroRNA precursor from Operophtera brumata (winter moth), 82 nucleotides. The record is from Rfam. NCBI's taxonomy places the organism in Eukaryota, Metazoa, Arthropoda, Insecta, Lepidoptera, Geometridae.
UGCUACUUGCAUUUGAUGAGUGUUGGUCAAGUGCACAGUCAACUCCUGUGACUAGAUCUACACUCAUUGAUUGCUAGUAGUU